AGCUUUGCGCAGUGGCAAUAUCAUAACCGAUGAGGGUCUACCGAGGUGUGAUUAUUGCUAGUUGAAAACUUAUACCAAUACCCCGCCACGUUGAAGUGAAAUAUUCUUCGACUUUGGCAAUUUUUGAUUGUCCUAAACGGA
This 141-nucleotide small nuclear RNA is filed under the name Daphnia pulex (common water flea). Its description in RNAcentral is "U4 spliceosomal RNA". It matches the Rfam family "U4 spliceosomal RNA". Rfam says of the family: U4 small nuclear RNA (U4 snRNA) is a component of the major U2-dependent spliceosome. The structure of U4 snRNA from yeast and human has been reported. The record is from Rfam by way of RNAcentral. Lineage: Eukaryota; Metazoa; Arthropoda; Branchiopoda; Diplostraca; Daphniidae.